UGGCGGCAGUAGCGCGGUGGUCCCACCUGACCCCAUGCCGAACUCAGAAGUGAAACGCCGUAGCGCCGAUGGUAGUGUGGGGUCUCCCCAUGCGAGAGUAGGGAACUGCCAG
RNAcentral lists this ribosomal RNA (112 nucleotides) under Escherichia coli. The record is from RNAcentral. Lineage: Bacteria; Pseudomonadati; Pseudomonadota; Gammaproteobacteria; Enterobacterales; Enterobacteriaceae. RNAcentral also lists the same sequence under 30 other names.